GAAAGAAGAAAGAAGAAAGAAGAAUAAGAAGAAUAAGAAGAAAGGAAGAGAAGAAGAGAAGAGAAGAGAAGAGAAGAAGAUUGGAGAAGAGAUUGACUUAUUUGGAAGGCUGCUGCAGAAUCCAGCAAAGGGGAGUUCCAAUUAACUGUGAGGGGACAAGUUCAGCAUCUGGAAAAGUGGAAACUGAUUCGGAUUGUCUAGGUUUUGAAGUUGAAGCAAAGAAGAUCAGGAGAUUGGUUGCAGAUGAAGUCAUGGACAGGGAGUGAUUAUAGACAAGGACUUGAUACUUUGUGUUUUAAUAUUGUAAAGUAAGUGUAAGUGGUAUUAUGUAAUUUGUUGUAACCAGUGGAGAAUUAUUAAUGGGCGUGUAAUAUUAUAGAGUUAUCAUUGUAGCUGAUCACCACAUGGACAUUCUGACCUUUUUGGAAUUUUACAUAUACUUUGAUUUUA
Macadamia integrifolia is the source of this 450-nucleotide long non-coding RNA. RefSeq lists it as uncharacterized. The record is from RefSeq and is a predicted model, not a curated record. The transcript has 3 exons. Lineage: Eukaryota; Viridiplantae; Streptophyta; Magnoliopsida; Proteales; Proteaceae.